GCAUAAUCAUUUGCCCUUUAAUUGGGGGCUAGUAUGAACGGACCAAACGAGGUUAACUCUGUCUCAUAUAAACUUCAGUAAAUUAGUCUUCAGGUGAAGAAACCUGAAUCAGUUGAAAAGACAAGAAGACCCUAUUGAGUUUUAUUAUCUCCUCUAUCAUUUUAGGAAUAAUUUGGUUGGGGCGACCAAGGAGUACCAAAACCCUCCUUUACCUAUAAGAAUGAUAUUUCGAUCUAUAAUGAACCUUAAAUGAUUCACAGAAUAAACUACCAUAGGGAUAACAGGCUAAUUUUCUUAGAGAGACCAUAUUGAUAAGAAAGU
This 321-nucleotide ribosomal RNA is filed under the name Sthenelais boa. RNAcentral's name for it is "partial 16S ribosomal RNA". It matches the Rfam family "Bacterial large subunit ribosomal RNA", at positions 1959 to 2517 of the family's 2925-position model. Lineage: Eukaryota; Metazoa; Annelida; Polychaeta; Phyllodocida; Sigalionidae. The record is from RNAcentral.